This 150-nucleotide unclassified non-coding RNA is filed under the name uncultured Hypocreales. RNAcentral's name for it is "sequence contains ITS1". The record is from RNAcentral. Lineage: Eukaryota; Fungi; Ascomycota; Sordariomycetes; Hypocreales.
CCGAGUUUACAACUCCCAACCCCUGUGAACAUACCUCAGUUGCUUCGGCGGCCGCGCCCCGGGCUCGACCCCGGAACCAGGCGCCCGCCGGAGGCCACAAACCAUUGUUUCUACUUUUGUAUUCUCUGAGUGGUUUAAACAAAUAAAUCA